Molecule: ribosomal RNA, 253 nt
Filed under: uncultured bacterium
Lineage: Bacteria
Description: partial 16S ribosomal RNA
Rfam family: Bacterial small subunit ribosomal RNA
Source: RNAcentral
UACGAAGGGGGCUAGCGUUGUUCGGAAUUACUGGGCGUAAAGCGCGCGCAGGCGGUCUUCCAAGUCAGUGGUGAAAGCCCGGAGCUCAACUCCGGAACUGCCAUUGAAACUGUAAGACUUGAGGACGAGAGAGGCGAGUGGAAUUCCCGGUGUAGCGGUGAAAUGCGUAGAGAUCGGGAGGAACACCAGUGGCGAAGGCGGCUACCUGGACCAGCACUGACACUGAGGCACGAAAGCGUGGGGAGCAAACAGG